CCCUCACCCUUUCUCCACUUUUCUCUCUGAAAAAAUUCUCACUUUUUUUCUCACACUUUCCCGGAUAACCCAAUCCAUCCCAUCUUCAAAAGCAGAAAAUUUUCCCUCAAGAAAGUGGUUUUCCUUACCACAAAAACAGACGUAUUCAAUUCAAGAAACGGGUUCAAAGAUUUUCCCCAGAAAAUCUGAUUCUCUCUCUUCAAAUGGGUUUUUAAUUUUGAAAUACUUAAUUUCUUAAUUUAAUUUAAUUAAAAAAAAUUUCUUCUGUUUUUGCAGACUACUGACGGUGAUGAGGAAGUUAUGUACAAAGUUUCCAAUCUCUCAAAUCAAGAAAAGGGUCUGAAGAUUUUCUCUGGUGAGGAAUAUCCUUUCAAAUGUAUACGAACUUGAAUUAAUUUUCAUGUUCCUGAUGUUUUAAAAGAUUUUUCAUUUAUUUUCUAUGUUUCUCCUCUGAAAUUUGUGGCAUGUACAACAACAAGAUUUUUCCCGGCGAAGGGGUUUUAUAGACUAAUGGGCUUUUCUUUGUGCUUUCAUCGGUGUGGUUUUUACUGAUUUUGUUGCUAAUUGUGAAUUUUUUUUUUUUAAUUUUUUAUAUUCUAUAUACUUGAACAAAUUUUGGCACUCACUAGUUAUGACAUAAUUAUCCAACAUAUGGUUUCUUUGGCACUAUAUAUCGUUUUGCAUGCUCUUGAUCUAUUAUGUUUGCAACUUGAUGCUUUUGUGCCCUUGACUGCUAAUUGUUCUGUUGGUUUCCUUCCAAUUAUUAGGUGCUGAGAUACAAGGCUGCUAAUUGAUCUAUUAUGAGAACUUUUUUCAUCUACUUUUGAUAUGUAGAUCUAGGCUUCUAGAAUGUGAUCAUGUAAGGGUAUCUCUGCACAGUAUUAGGGGUUAUCAAUUUCUAGCUUUAGCUUAUUGGAUAAUCUUAUUUUUUGGUCUUUUCUGGCCCUUAAAAUUAAAUUUGCUAUUGCUUUUAAGUGUUCCAAUGAAUCAUUGAUUCUUCUCCACACCCCGUUCCCCAAUGAAUAAUUGAUUCUGUGUGCAUGUGUUUGGACUUGAUAGAAAACAAGAUAGGGUGGAGGGUCCUGGCUUCAAAUUUGUAUUUCCAACUUAUUAUUAUAAAUUUAUCAGCUGCUAAUCGAUUCACUGUAUGUGACAUUAACUUUUUGCUAUUGUUAGCAAAACCUUAUUUUGCGAUUGACUAGUUCAUUUAUUUAUUUUUUCCGAACAAAUUUGAGGCAGUGAUGAUAGUCAUUAUUCAGUACUUUCUUUAGCUUUUACUGCAUUCCUUAGACUGCUGUGAAAGCAAAUUUUGGGUUGAAAAAAACACAGGAAAAACCCAAGUGGUCUGUAGCUACUAAGAGAGAUGCUUACAAGUGCUGUAACAAGAGAAAUGAUUUCUAUGCAGUAUAGAGACCUUUUUGUAUCAACACCCUAAAAGACUGAGUUCAAGAGAAUCACUUCAACUCUAAAGUACCAGACAAGAUGUGUUGCUGCCUUUCCAGAUCAGCAAGGUUUCUUGAUCGGAUCCAAGAAAGGCAAUUUCCUUGUUCUGGUCUGCCAUAAAUGCUGGGGACCUGGCUGAUAGUGCCUUGAAAGAAAUGGCAAUUGUGAUGAAACAAUUGGAUCGAUUUGAUGAGGCAAUUGAGGCUAUCAAAUCUUUUCGUCAUCUCUGCCCUUAUGAUUCCUAGGAAUCUCUUGGCAAUGUGUUAGUUGAACUCUACAAGGUAAAACUAAAACCAGUUUUAUCCAAUAAAUAGUUUCUUAUAUUUUACUUGCCAUUCUUUGUCAUUUUCCUUUCAGCUAGUUACAUAUAUUGGGGCAACAACAACAAGAAAGCUGGAGUGUGGCAAGUAUAAAUGAUAUUACAGGACUAAAUUUGCAGACAAGAACUUUUACCUUCAAAAAAAUAAAAGCAGCCACUAAUGAUUUCUAUUCUGCCAACAAAAUUUGAGAAGGUGAUUUUGGUCCUGUGUACAAGGUUCGGUGCAGAGUGAAUUACCUGAUGGUACUGUCAUAGCAGUUAAGCAACUCUCAUCUAAAUCAAAGCAAGGAAAUCGUGAAUUUUUAACUGAAAUAGGCAUGAUUUCUUGUUUGCAACACCCAAAUCUGGUGAAGCUUCAUGGAUGUUGUAUUGAAGGGGAGCAAUUAUUGUUAGUCUAUGAGUACAUGGAAAAUAAUAACUUAGUCCAUGCAUUAUUUGGUGAGUAUUAUGUAAUCUUGCUUAGCAUUGAGCUAUUACGAAAAAAAAUAUGAGAUGAAAUUUUUUCCAUGAUUUGAAUUUAAUUAUAUGUAGCAAAAAAUUAAGUCAGGUGAGCUUAUCUGGCUUCCAGACCAUCCUUGGAUUCUUUUCUUGAUUUUCUGGAUGGUCAGCUCUAUGGGAUUCAGAUUUGAGUUUUCUGGUUAUUGGUUUCUUCUUAUUUGAGUAAUUGAGUUGACUCAGCAGUAUUUUCUUCUUUGGUAGGUCCAGAAAUCAAUCAGCUUAAACUGGACUGGCCUACAAGGCUUAAGAUAUGUAUUGGGAUAGCAAGGGCCUUAGCUUUUUACCAUGAAGAAUCAAGACUCAAGAUUGUCCACAGAGACAUCAAAGCUACUAAUGUGUUGCUAGAUGGAGACUUAAAUCCUAAAAUAUCUGACUUUGGAUUGGCUAAACUUGAUUAAGAGGAGAAGACCCACAUUAGCACCAAGGUAGCUGGAACUAUGUCAGUUCCCAUCUUAUUAAUGAACUUCUAGUUAUAUAUGUUAUAAUUUUAAUAAUUAUAUUUGAGGUUAGCAAAAUAUUCUAAUUUUUGGAGUUGAAUCAUAAGACAUUGAGAUUUUGAUUUGCAAUGGAUAUAUGACACCAGAAUAUGUAUUAUGGGGUUAUCUGACCUACAAAGUAGAUGUUCAUAAGUUUUGGAGUUGUGGCCUUAGAAGUUCUCAGUGGAAAGAGCAACAGUAAUUAUAUGCCAAGUGACAUUUGUGUUUGCCUUUUAGAUCUGGUACUUUCUAACUUCCUAUCCCUGUUUGAUUCAUUACACAUAUAUCGUUAAUGCUUCAAUUAUUACUUACUA
Quercus lobata is the source of this 3050-nucleotide long non-coding RNA. RefSeq lists it as uncharacterized. The record is from RefSeq and is a predicted model, not a curated record. The transcript has 5 exons. Lineage: Eukaryota; Viridiplantae; Streptophyta; Magnoliopsida; Fagales; Fagaceae.